AUUGAACGCUGGCGGCAGGCUUAACACAUGCAAGUCGAACGAGUGGCGGACGGGUGAGUAAUGCUUGGGAAUCUAGCUCAUGGAGGGGGAUAACUACGGGAAACUGUAGCUAAUACCGCGUACCAUAGGAUGAGCCCAAGUGGGAUUAGGUAGUUGUUGGGGUAAAGGCUCACCAGGCCGACGAUCUCUAGCUGGUCUGAGAGGAUGACCAGCGACACUGGGACUGAGGCACGGCACAGACUCCUACGGCAGGCAGCAGUGGGAGAUAUUGCAGAAUGGGGGCAACCUGACGCAGCCGUGCCGCGUGAAUGAAGAAGGCCAUCAGGUUGUAAAGUUCUUUCGGUAACGAGGGGUUAACUACAGAAGAAGCACCGGCUAACUCCGUGCCAGCAGCCGCGGUAAUAC
This 405-nucleotide ribosomal RNA is filed under the name uncultured bacterium. RNAcentral's name for it is "partial 16S ribosomal RNA". It matches the Rfam family "Bacterial small subunit ribosomal RNA", at positions 30 to 526 of the family's 1533-position model. The record is from RNAcentral.